AGUGAACGCUGGCGAUAGGCCUAACACAUGCAAGUCGAACGGCAGCACAGUAAGAGCUUGCUCUUACGGGUGGCGAGUGGCGGACGGGUGAGGAAUACAUCGGAAUCUACUUUUUCGUGGGGGAUAACGUAGGGAAACUUACGCUAAUACCGCAUACGACCUACGGGUGAAAGCAGGGGAUCUUCGGACCUUGCGCGAUUGAAUGAGCCGAUGUCGGAUUAGCUAGUUGGCGGGGUAAAGGCCCACCAAGGCGACGAUCCGUAGCUGGUCUGAGAGGAUGAUCAGCCACACUGGAACUGAGACACGGUCCAGACUCCUACGGGAGGCAGCAGUGGGGAAUAUUGGACAAUGGGCGCAAGCCUGAUCCAGCCAUACCGCGUGGGUGAAGAAGGCCUUCGGGUUGCAAAGCCCUUUUGUUGGGAAAGAAAAGCAGCAGGUUAAUACCCCGCUGUUCUGACGGUACCCAAAGAAUAAGCACCGGCUAACUUCGUG
RNAcentral lists this ribosomal RNA (492 nucleotides) under uncultured bacterium. Its description in RNAcentral is "partial 16S ribosomal RNA". It matches the Rfam family "Bacterial small subunit ribosomal RNA", at positions 29 to 507 of the family's 1533-position model. The record is from RNAcentral.